This 426-nucleotide long non-coding RNA is filed under the name Elaeis guineensis (African oil palm). Its description in RNAcentral is "long non-coding RNA (EGUI_LNC016309)". Lineage: Eukaryota; Viridiplantae; Streptophyta; Magnoliopsida; Arecales; Arecaceae. The record is from RNAcentral.
CUUCCUCCCUCCUUCUUCCUCUACCUCUUCUCCCAAAUCCUCUAUCUCCUAAUCUGCUAUCUACAUCUUCCCAAUCAACAAUAAUCCACUCUUUACUAUCCAUAAUUAGAUUCACACCUUAACGCCCUCUCCUUGAAGGUUGAAUAGAACUGGAGCAAUCAUAUUCUUUUUACGAAUUUGCGAUCCAGAUAUAAAGGCAAGGCGAUCUUCUUCGACGUCGAAUCCCUACGGCACUCUUCAACUCCUACCGAAUUGGUCUUUUCCUCCAGAUUGCGCAAGAUCUCGUGCUAGAUGAGAUUUUUCCUCGAGGUAGUUCCUUCAUAUUAUUAUUGGUUGUUCGAGAACCUACUUUGUUUGAUCUACCUUGAAAUUAUUAGGAGUAGAGCCUUGACCUAAAUGAGAUAGUUUUUUAACGACCUUCGAUCC